RNAcentral lists this long non-coding RNA (248 nucleotides) under Lathyrus oleraceus (garden pea). RNAcentral describes it as "Pisum sativum (pea) long non-coding RNA (PSAT_LNC036889)". Lineage: Eukaryota; Viridiplantae; Streptophyta; Magnoliopsida; Fabales; Fabaceae. The record is from RNAcentral.
UCAACAAUUGGUCUUCUGAGGAGAUUGUCCAAGUCACUUUUCUGGAGGAGUAAUUUUCUUUGUUUGUUCAUGCAUAUCCAAGUCUUACGUUCCGCCCAAGGCGUAAUGACUCAUUGUAGGGCUCAUCUAUGUGGAUACCUGCAUUUUUUAUCAUAAAUAAAGGACAUCUUUUUGCAUUCAAAUAUUUUGUUCACUGUCUUUCUAUUUUUGCAGUUUUCAAAAAUCAAAAAAUAUUUGGCAAUGUUUUG